This 253-nucleotide ribosomal RNA is filed under the name uncultured bacterium. Its description in RNAcentral is "partial 16S ribosomal RNA". It matches the Rfam family "Bacterial small subunit ribosomal RNA", at positions 524 to 776 of the family's 1533-position model. The record is from RNAcentral.
AACGUAGGAGACAAACGUUAUCCGGAGUUACUGGGCGUAAAGGGCGUGCAGGCGGUCGACUAAGUCUGGCGUGAAAGCUCGCGGCUAAACCGCGAGAGGUCGUUGGAUACUGGUUGACUAGAGGACGGUAGAGGCGUGUGGAAUUCCGGGUGUAGUGGUGAAAUGCGUAGAGAUCCGGAGGAACACCAGUGGCGAAGGCGACACGCUGGGCCGUACCUGACGCUAAAACGCGACAGCAUGGGGAGCGAACGGG